RNAcentral lists this ribosomal RNA (2890 nucleotides) under Vibrio parahaemolyticus. Its description in RNAcentral is "23S ribosomal RNA". It matches the Rfam family "Bacterial large subunit ribosomal RNA". Lineage: Bacteria; Pseudomonadati; Pseudomonadota; Gammaproteobacteria; Vibrionales; Vibrionaceae. The record is from RNAcentral.
GGUUAAGUGACUAAGCGUACACGGUGGAUGCCUUGGCAGUCAGAGGCGAUGAAAGACGUAGUAACUUGCGAUAAGCCCAGAUUAGGUAGUAACAACCAUUUGAGUCUGGGAUUUCUGAAUGGGGAAACCCACGUGCAUAAGCACGUAUCCUUACCUGAAUACAUAGGGUAAGGAGGCGAACCGGGGGAACUGAAACAUCUAAGUACCCCGAGGAAAAGAAAUCAACCGAGAUUCCGAAAGUAGCGGCGAGCGAAAUUGGACUAGCCCUUAAGCUUUACACGCGUUAGACGAACGGUCUGGAAAGUCCGACGAUACAGGGUGAUAGUCCCGUAGUUGACGACGUGUGUUCAGUGAAAUCGAGUAGGGCGGGACACGUGAUAUCCUGUCUGAAUAUGGGGGGACCAUCCUCCAAGGCUAAAUACUACUGACUGACCGAUAGUGAACCAGUACCGUGAGGGAAAGGCGAAAAGAACCCCUGUGAGGGGAGUGAAAUAGAACCUGAAACCGUGUACGUACAAGCAGUAGGAGCAGGCUUGUCCUGUGACUGCGUACCUUUUGUAUAAUGGGUCAGCGACUUAUAUUCAGUGGCAAGGUUAACCAUCUAGGGGAGCCGUAGGGAAACCGAGUCUUAACUGGGCGUUCAGUCUCUGGAUAUAGACCCGAAACCAGGUGAUCUAGCCAUGGGCAGGUUGAAGGUUGAGUAACAUCAACUGGAGGACCGAACCGACUAAUGUUGAAAAAUUAGCGGAUGACUUGUGGCUAGGGGUGAAAGGCCAAUCAAACCUGGAGAUAGCUGGUUCUCCCCGAAAGCUAUUUAGGUAGCGCCUCGGACGAAUACUACUGGGGGUAGAGCACUGUUAAGGCUAGGGGGUCAUCCCGACUUACCAACCCUUUGCAAACUCCGAAUACCAGUAAGUACUAUCCGGGAGACACACGGCGGGUGCUAACGUCCGUCGUGGAGAGGGAAACAACCCAGACCGCCAGCUAAGGUCCCAAAUUACUACUAAGUGGGAAACGAUGUGGGAAGGCUCAGACAGCCAGGAUGUUGGCUUAGAAGCAGCCAUCAUUUAAAGAAAGCGUAAUAGCUCACUGGUCGAGUCGGCCUGCGCGGAAGAUGUAACGGGGCUAAGUAGUAAACCGAAGCUGCGGCAAUAUACUUUUGUAUAUUGGGUAGGGGAGCGUUCUGUAAGCGGUUGAAGGUGUGUGGUAACGCAUGCUGGACGUAUCAGAAGUGCGAAUGCUGACAUGAGUAACGAUAAAGGGGGUGAAAAACCUCCUCGCCGGAAGACCAAGGGUUCCUGUCCAACGUUAAUCGGGGCAGGGUAAGUCGACCCCUAAGGCGAGGCCGAAAGGCGUAGUCGAUGGGAAACGGGUUAAUAUUCCCGUACUUCUUACAAUUGCGAUGGGGGGACGGAGAAGGCUAGGUGGGCCUGGCGACGGUUGUCCAGGUUCAAGUGCGUAGGCUUAAGAGUUAGGUAAAUCCGGCUCUUUUUAAGGCUGAGACACGACGUCGAGCACCUACGGGUGUGAAGUCAUUGAUGCCAUGCUUCCAGGAAAAGCCUCUAAGCUUCAGAUUGUAAGGAAUCGUACCCCAAACCGACACAGGUGGUCGGGUAGAGAAUACCAAGGCGCUUGAGAGAACUCGGGUGAAGGAACUAGGCAAAAUGGUACCGUAACUUCGGGAGAAGGUACGCUCUUGAUGGUGAAGUCCCUCGCGGAUGGAGCUGACGAGAGUCGCAGAUACCAGGUGGCUGCAACUGUUUAUUAAAAACACAGCACUGUGCAAAAUCGUAAGAUGACGUAUACGGUGUGACGCCUGCCCGGUGCCGGAAGGUUAAUUGAUGGGGUUAGACUUCGGUCGAAGCUCUUGAUCGAAGCCCCGGUAAACGGCGGCCGUAACUAUAACGGUCCUAAGGUAGCGAAAUUCCUUGUCGGGUAAGUUCCGACCUGCACGAAUGGCGUAAUGAUGGCCACGCUGUCUCCACCCGAGACUCAGUGAAAUUGAAAUCGCUGUGAAGAUGCAGUGUACCCGCGGCUAGACGGAAAGACCCCGUGAACCUUUACUACAGCUUGGCACUGAACAUUGACCCUACAUGUGUAGGAUAGGUGGGAGGCUUUGAAGCACGUACGCCAGUAUGUGUGGAGCCGUCCUUGAAAUACCACCCUUGUAGUGUUGAUGUUCUAACGUCGACCCCUUAUCGGGGUUGCGGACAGUGCCUGGUGGGUAGUUUGACUGGGGCGGUCUCCUCCCAAAGAGUAACGGAGGAGCACGAAGGUGGGCUAAUCACGGUUGGACAUCGUGAGGUUAGUGCAAUGGCAUAAGCCCGCUUGACUGCGAGAAUGACAAUUCGAGCAGGUGCGAAAGCAGGUCAUAGUGAUCCGGUGGUUCUGAAUGGAAGGGCCAUCGCUCAACGGAUAAAAGGUACUCCGGGGAUAACAGGCUGAUACCGCCCAAGAGUUCAUAUCGACGGCGGUGUUUGGCACCUCGAUGUCGGCUCAUCACAUCCUGGGGCUGAAGUCGGUCCCAAGGGUAUGGCUGUUCGCCAUUUAAAGUGGUACGCGAGCUGGGUUUAGAACGUCGUGAGACAGUUCGGUCCCUAUCUGCCGUGGGCGUUGGAAGAUUGAAGGGGGCUGCUCCUAGUACGAGAGGACCGGAGUGGACGAACCUCUGGUGUUCGGGUUGUGUCGCCAGACGCAUUGCCCGGUAGCUAAGUUCGGAAUCGAUAACCGCUGAAAGCAUCUAAGCGGGAAGCGAGCCCUGAGAUGAGUCUUCCCUGAUACUUUAAGUAUCCUAAAGGGUUGUCGGAGACUACGACGUUGAUAGGUCAGGUGUGUAAGUGCUGUGAGGCAUUGAGCUAACUGAUACUAAUUGCCCGUGAGGCUUAACCAU